UACGUAGGGGGCAAGCGUUGUCCGGAAUCAUUGGGCGUAAAGAGUGUGUAGGCGGCUUGGUAAGUCUGCUCUGAAAGCCAGGGGCUCAACCCCUGGAGGCGGGUGGAUACUGUCAAGCUUGAGUCCGGAAGAGGCGAGUGGAAUUCCCGGUGUAGCGGUGAAAUGCGCAGAUAUCGGGAGGAACACCAAUGGCGAAGGCAGCUCGCUGGGACGUGACUGACGCUGAGACACGAAAGCGUGGGGAGCAAAC
This 250-nucleotide ribosomal RNA is filed under the name uncultured bacterium. RNAcentral describes it as "partial 16S ribosomal RNA". It matches the Rfam family "Bacterial small subunit ribosomal RNA", at positions 524 to 773 of the family's 1533-position model. The record is from RNAcentral.